UCCUACGGGAGGCAGCAGUGAGGAAUAUUGGUCAAUGGGCGAGAGCCUGAACCAGCCAAGUAGCGUGCAGGAUGACGGCCCUAUGGGUUGUAAAACUGCUUUUAUAAGGGAAUAAAGUGAGUCUCGUGAGGCUUUUUGCAUGUACCUUAUGAAUAAGGACCGGCUAAUUCCGUGC
This 175-nucleotide ribosomal RNA is filed under the name uncultured bacterium. RNAcentral's name for it is "partial 16S ribosomal RNA". It matches the Rfam family "Bacterial small subunit ribosomal RNA", at positions 337 to 508 of the family's 1533-position model. The record is from RNAcentral.